Mauremys reevesii (Reeves's turtle) is the source of this 369-nucleotide long non-coding RNA. RefSeq lists it as uncharacterized. The record is from RefSeq and is a predicted model, not a curated record. Lineage: Eukaryota; Metazoa; Chordata; Testudines; Geoemydidae. The transcript has 3 exons.
CUGAGUUCACCGAAGGUUGUGAUAAUGAACACACAAAUAUGAAAUACAGAGCACCUAGGAAUUCUCAGAGGUGGACCCUUGGAGCUGUGCAGAUGUGGAAGACCACUGCCCCUUUCCAGCUGUGGACCUACAAGCAGCUCACAGACGAUCUUCCUGUCAGCAACCCACCAUGACAGCUAUGCUCAGUGAAUGAGAACUCUGCAACGGACCAUCCUCAGGGUGAAACUCUGAUGGGCUGGAGCAGUGUGUUCUCCAAGGAAAGUCCUAGCUGGUGUAUUUCUCUACCACCAUAGAUCAGCAGAAGACAGAGCUUCUUUACCUUUAGGACUCCAGUAUCCUUCUCUUUGUGCAAGGCUUCUCUCAAUACAA